RNAcentral lists this ribosomal RNA (229 nucleotides) under uncultured bacterium. Its description in RNAcentral is "partial 16S ribosomal RNA". It matches the Rfam family "Bacterial small subunit ribosomal RNA", at positions 568 to 796 of the family's 1533-position model. The record is from RNAcentral.
UGCGUAGGCGGGCUAAUAAGUCAGUGGUGAAAUCUCUCGGCUCAACCGGGAAACUGCCAUUGAUACUGUUAGUCUUGAGUUCGGGUGAGGUAGGCGGAAUGUGUAAUGUAGCGGUGAAAUGCUUAGAUAUUACACAGAACACCAAUUGCGUAGGCAGCUUACUAGACCGACACUGACGCUGAGGCACGAAAGCGUGGGGAGCGAACAGGAUUAGAUACCCUGGUAGUCC